CACGUAGGCGGUCCACUAAGUCAGUUGUGAAAUCCCUCGGCUCAACCGAGGAACUGCAAAUGAUACUGGUGGACUUGAGGAUGGUAGGGGUGAGCGGAACUCCAGGUGGAGCGGUGAAAUGCGUAGAUAUCUGGAGGAACACCGGUGGCGAAAGCGGCUCCCUGGACCAUCACUGACGCUGAGGUGCGAAAGCUAGGGUAGCAAACAGGAUUAGAUACCCUGGUAGUC
This 228-nucleotide ribosomal RNA is filed under the name uncultured bacterium. Its description in RNAcentral is "partial 16S ribosomal RNA". It matches the Rfam family "Bacterial small subunit ribosomal RNA", at positions 568 to 795 of the family's 1533-position model. The record is from RNAcentral.